CCGCCAGGUAGUGCAGGGCAGCGCAGCGGGCACCGUCCGAGCCGGUGCGGGCGGCCUCCAGGAUCAGCUCGCGGUCGUCCGGCCCGGCGACGGCGGU
RNAcentral lists this transfer RNA (97 nucleotides) under Streptomyces fradiae. Its description in RNAcentral is "tRNA-Ser". RNAcentral also lists the same sequence under 1 other name. The record is from RNAcentral. Lineage: Bacteria; Bacillati; Actinomycetota; Actinomycetes; Kitasatosporales; Streptomycetaceae.